CCCACCCGUGUUUAUUUACCUUGUUGCUUCGGCGGGCCCGCCUUAACUGGCCGCCGGGGGGCUUACGCCCCCGGGCCCGCGCCCGCCGAAGACACCCUCGAACUCUGUCUGAAGAUUGUAGUCUGAGUGAAAAUAUAAAUUAUUUAAAACUUUCAACAACGGAUCUCUUGGUUCCGGCAUCGAUGAAGAACGCAGCGAAAUGCGAUACGUAAUGUGAAUUGCAAAUUCAGUGAAUCAUCGAGUCUUUGAACGCACAUUGCGCCCCCUGGUAUUCCGGGGGGCAUGCCUGUCCGAGCGUCAUUGCUGCCCUCAAGCACGGCUUGUGUGUUGGGCCCCGUCCUCCGAUUCCGGGGGACGGGCCCGAAAGGCAGCGGCGGCACCGCGUCCGGUCCUCGAGCGUAUGGGGCUUUGUCACCCGCUCUGUAGGCCCGGCCGGCGCUUGCCGAUCAACCCAAAUUUUUAUCCAGGUUGACCUCGGAUCAGGUAGGGAUACCCGCUGAACUUAAGCAUAUC
This 513-nucleotide ribosomal RNA is filed under the name Penicillium griseofulvum. RNAcentral describes it as "eukaryotic LSU rRNA". The stretch from base 148 to 300 matches the Rfam family "5.8S ribosomal RNA". Lineage: Eukaryota; Fungi; Ascomycota; Eurotiomycetes; Eurotiales; Aspergillaceae. The record is from RNAcentral.